CAGCCGCCGCGGGAAUACGAAGGGGGCUAGCGUUGCUCGGAAUCACUGGGCGUAAAGGGUGCGUAGGCGGGUCUUUAAGUCAGGGGUGAAAUCCUGGAGCUCAACUCCAGAACUGCCUUUGAUACUGAAGAUCUUGAGUUCGGGAGAGGUGAGUGGAACUGCGAGUGUAGAGGUGAAAUUCGUAGAUAUUCGCAAGAACACCAGUGGCGAAGGCGGCUCACUGGCCCGAUACUGACGCUGAGGCACGAUAGCGUGGGGAGCAAACAGGAUUAGAUACCCGGGUAGUCCCUGUCUCUUAUAC
Molecule: ribosomal RNA, 301 nt
Filed under: uncultured bacterium
Lineage: Bacteria
Description: partial 16S ribosomal RNA
Rfam family: Bacterial small subunit ribosomal RNA
Source: RNAcentral